This 754-nucleotide ribosomal RNA is filed under the name uncultured methanogenic archaeon. RNAcentral's name for it is "bacterial SSU rRNA". It matches the Rfam family "Archaeal small subunit ribosomal RNA", at positions 88 to 845 of the family's 1478-position model. Lineage: Archaea; Methanobacteriati; Methanobacteriota. The record is from RNAcentral.
GCUCAGUAACACGUGGAUAACAUGCCCUAAGGUGGGGGAUAAUCUCGGGAAACUGAGGAUAAUACCCCAUAGGUCUUCUAUGCUGGAAUGCUCGAAGGCCGAAAACUCCGGUGCCUUAGGAUUGGUCUGCGGCCUAUCAGGCAGUAGUGGGUGUAAUGGACCCACUAGCCCGUGACGGGUAUGGGCCUUGAGAGAGGGAGCCCAGAGAUGGACUCUGAGACAUGAGUCCAGGCCCUACGGGGCGCAGCAGUCGCGAAAACUUCGCAAUGGGGGCAACCCCGACGAGGGAAUUCCAAGUGCCAGCACUUUGUGUUGGCUGUUCUCUUGUCUAAAAAACAAGAGGAGUAAGGGGCGGGUAAGACGGGUGCCAGCCGCCGCGGUAAUACCCGCGCCCCAAGUGGUGGUCGAUAUUAUUGAGCCUAAAACGUCCGUAGCCGGUCUUUUAAAUCCUUGGGUAAAUCGGGCAGCUUAACUGUUCGACUUCCGAGGAGACUGGAAGACUUGGGACCGGGAGAGGUCAGAGGUACUUCUGGGGUAGGGGUAAAAUCCUGUAAUCCUGGAAGGACCACCGGUGGCGAAGGCGUCUGACUAGAACGGAUCCGACGGUGAGGGACGAAGCCCUGGGGCGCAAACGGGAUUAGAUACCCCGGUAGUCCAGGGUGUAAACGCUGCGGGCUUGGUGUUGGGGGUCCUUUGUGGGCGCCCAGUGCCGGAGAGAAGUUGUUAAGCCUGCUGCUUGGGGAGUAUGUCCGCA